Molecule: ribosomal RNA, 381 nt
Filed under: uncultured bacterium
Lineage: Bacteria
Description: bacterial SSU rRNA
Rfam family: Bacterial small subunit ribosomal RNA
Source: RNAcentral
AUUGAACGCUGGCGGCAUGCCUUACACAUGCAAGUCGAACGGCAGCACGGGAGCAAUCCUGGUGGCGAGUGGCGAACGGGUGAGUAAUAUAUCGGAACGUGCCCAGUCGUGGGGGAUAACGUAGCGAAAGCUACGCUAAUACCGCAUACGAUCUAUGGAUGAAAGCGGGGGAUCGCAAGACCUCGCGCGAUUGGAGCGGCCGAUAUCAGAUUAGGUAGUUGGUGGGGUAAAAGCCUACCAAGCCUUCGAUCUGUAGCUGGUCUGAGAGGACGACCAGCCACACUGGAACUGAGACACGGUCCAGACUCCUACGGGAGGCAGCAGUGGGGAAUUUUGGACAAUGGGCGGCAAGCCUGAUCCAGCAAUAGCCGCGUGCAGGAU